RNAcentral lists this long non-coding RNA (3954 nucleotides) under Gallus gallus (chicken). Lineage: Eukaryota; Metazoa; Chordata; Aves; Galliformes; Phasianidae. The record is from RNAcentral.
GUAGGUUUCAGCAGUUUGUAGAGGCAGCUUCAUCACUCGUACCAGAGGGGUGCCUUGCUCUUCUGGAGGCUCUCUGCAGACACUGGGAUGGCUGCUGCAGGGCAUCGCGAACACAAGAACGUGUUUGUUGCACAGUGGCUUGUCAGAUCAUUGAAAUCUACUAUAGUUCAUUUCUGUUUAAGGAUGCUGUAAUGGGGAGCAUGCUAGCAAUAUGGUUUGGUACCUGUGUUACACAAACUACUUUGUAAGGCUUAGAGAUGCACACCAAGUGGGCUGUGUGUCCUUUUACCUGUGCAUGUCAGUUUUCAGAGGGUAAAGAAUAGAAUCUGUUACUCUCUGAAACGUACAGUGAACGUUUUACUUCACUAGAGGACUCCAUAGAGAAAAUUAGAUGUGGUGCUGAGUAGAAAUUGUAUUUCCUUGGCUGAUUGGUACAGUGAAACUUCGCAGUGAAGAUCACUAAGCAAGCUGGAUAGCGAAACUCCAGUAAAGCUCUAACUGAUUCUGAUGGUCUUCUGUCUAGCAGCGUUGUCACUUGUUUCAGAUCAUCUGCUACUUCCUUAAUAAAUAUUUCCAAGAUUCAGGUUAAAAUAAUUAGAAUAUAUUUAAAGUUCAAGAAAGAAUGCGGUGUUCAACUAUAAAUUUUGAUGCUCCACGAUAUACCAACUAGUAGAAUCACAUAAUAAAAAUCUGGUAUGGAAAUGUGUAUAAUCGAAACCAUGCUGUUGUAAUGCCGCUCUGUGUCAAGUGUUCCUUCUCCCUGACCUCAUUAGGUGUGCCUAGUCAUUAGAUACAGUGUUACUAAAGAGUUUUAACUUAAAAGCGGCUUUGAUUAAUGAUUGAUUGCACUGAAGUUUAACUGUGUAGGAUUAACCAGAUUUAAAAAUGGCAAAAUGCCAUAGUAGCAUUAAUGCCAGACUUUAACAAGAAGCAGAAGUAAACUCCAAGGACCCUUAUGAUUUUCAUAUGGACUAAACUCAUGUUCUCAUUAACUUAAUGUCCUGUCCUGUUCUGAAAGCUAAUGUUCUAAUAAUUCCUAGAGAAUAGUAGCUUAGGCAGCACAUUACAAAUCUGUAAUCCUCAUAUGUUUAAUGAAUCAUACAUUUUGAUAAUUUUAAUAUUAGGCUCAUUCAACCACGUUCUGUCACUGUAGUUGGAAAGUAUGUUUUCACAUUUUUGUGUUGUCUGCCAUUUGAAUUUUGUUUUAAUAUCUUCUUAUUUCAGUUUUCCUGAAGGUUUAGAGUUGGCAUCGCUACAGCCUAAUAUCCUUAUUUUUUUCUCAAUUGAUCACAUAUUUCUUUAUAUCAUACUGCCAAGAAAAUGCCACCAGUCCCACUUAAAGCACUAUUCAGUCACCUGAAAUCCUACUAAAGUACAUAGGAUUUAAAUAUAAUGUAAUAAAAUAAAAGAUCAUGUAACGCUGAAUUGGGUCCGUUCUGUCUAGCAUUUUCUCCAGUCCAUGGGAUCUUUGCUGAGUUAAUCAAAAUUCAUUGAUUUAUUAUUGGAGCUGAACAGGAAGAAAGUUUGUCAUUUCAGGAAUCUGUUAAUUCUUUUUGCUGCAUUGAUCCUGAUUUGAUGAUUUGGGUUAUUUUUCAGUGAGCUUCUAGUCACAAGAAGCGUGUAAUGAAACUUGUGUUUCAGCGUAGUAACGCACUGUGAGAAUUAGGCACUGUGUGUUAAUAAUUAAUAAUAGCAGUUAUUUACAGAGGCAGCACUCUUUCUGCCAAAGCAUCCAGCCAAAUGCUUGGGCUGCAAUGCCUAAUUUCUCAUUGAAAUCCGGGAUAUAUUAGACUUGACUUAAAUAGGAUUACUCACUCAAGCAAAUUUACGCAAGUGUAUAAGGCAUGUAUCCAGCUUGUAGUGAGUUAGGAGUCUACCUACUUGUUUGGCUCUGGGCCCUAGGCACUUGCAUAACGUUCCUUGCAUGAAUUAUCCCAUUAAACCAAGACCCGCGUAAACACUGUUACUCAUACCAGCAACUCUGUGUGUGUGGACAAGUGCUGACAGUCCAGGAUCUUGCUUCCUCUUGUACCAUAUCAGAAGGUUCUGUUUUCACUAAUGAUCAGAGUGUAUUAACUAAACUUUAUAUUUGCAGUCCAUAUUGGUAAUUCCCGCGCCACUGAGGUUUUUGACUGCAUUCUAAUACUGCCUUUGUAUUUUUUGCUUCAUUGACUCAGUGAUAUUUUUUUCUUUCUUUUUUUUUUUUUAGGAAGAAGGGCAACAAAAACAAAGGAGAAGAAAAAGAAGAAAAAGAAUUUGAUGGAGAGGGCUCAGAAGCAGCACAGCAUCUUUUUAGCUACAGACAAAACAAGCCAGUAAAGACUUGAUUUAUUUUUUUUAAUAUAUUUUUGCAAAGUGCACAAAAGCUGCUAUAUGCUCCUGCCCAUGGAUGCACUACGAUUCAGCUGCUUUAACAGUAUUGGUGGCAAAUAACUUGUGAAAAGAAGCCCACAAGCUUGUUUGUUUUAUUUAUAUAUUUUUUUUAUUUUAUUUUUUCCUCUUAUUUUUGGACCUGAAGACUUCAAGGUCAGGAGCACACUGAGUUGAAUCAGUGGAAGUGGUGCUGAAGUGUGUCAAAGAUUUUGUACUGAGUGUUUGGUCAACGUGUUGACACUGAAUGGAAGCAGGAAAGAAACCUAUGUAUCACCAUUAGGCGGACUUGUGCAUAUUUAAAUAUAAAAAGGAAGUCUUGGAGGUGUAGGUACUAUUGCAUUUAUGGCCUUUGUCUCCUAUAUGUGUACAUUUCAAGAGUAAAUGGAUAUGACUCACAUACUUAGCAUUCAGAUGCUAGACUACCUUGUACUGACCCUCACAAUGGAGUGUCAGCUCUGAAGUAUACUUGCCAGACUGGUAAAAUGCAAUUCUUUUCUGCUCUUCUUUACUCCUAUCUCAGCCCUAGUGUAUUUUGUCUCAGAAAAAGUAGGGUAACUUUUAAAGGUGAGGCAUGAUGAUAGAUGUUUUGAGCGUCAGGAAAGAAAUUUUACAGAAAGUUCUUGGUAUCUAAGAUUGUAUAUGUAGUUUUUCAAAUGUAAUGCACAGUGUUUUAUUUCUGUUAGUCCUGAUCCAGUCAGAUACAGCAACUGAAUACCUGAAUAGGGAGAAACAAAAGAAAAAGCAGUGUGUAAUCAGUCAUUCAGCAGUAUAGUGAGCACCAGUCAGUUUCCCAGUAUUGCCAGUUACUUGUUGAAGUUUAGCAAACUUAACCUGCAUCUGGGUUGGGGGAAGGUGUCUUUUUAAGUAGCUAAAAUGGCUCAGGAUGUGUAAUUUGGUAUCAUUGCAUUAUCAGGCUUUUAUUCAAGGAGACUUUUGAAUAUCUUCUUGGAAAAGCCCACAACUACAAUGCCUGCCACUUAUGCUGUCACUUACAGAAGUUAUAGUUCUAGGACUAAAACUUGCAUCACUACCUGCUCAAAGGUGUUUUGUUAAAAAUUGUUUAUACUUAAAUUUUGACAGGUCUGGCUAAGAAGUUAAUUCUAUCAAAAGGAUCUUUUCUAAAUCUAGGACUCUGUGAAUGUUUACAAGGUCUGCUUCUAUACUCACUUCUGAGCUAGAAUAAUACAAGCCCCACUGCUAUGGGCUCCACCAAAAGCCCUCUCUCUAUAUUUUCCACUGUGGCAGUUAGCUAACUGCUUGAGGAGUACAUCUCUCCCAGGCACGGGUAUUUGGCUUUAUUUACACAAAAGUGAUUAUCUGGAGCCCAUCUUCCAAGGGUAGACACUUAGCUUAGUUAGUAUUUGAGUGGUUUUCCUCAUCUCUUUUGUCCUUCUGAAAUAGUUUGUAAGUGGGGUCUCUGCAAUCACUUGCAGAGAACUGGGGAGUGGAGAGGAAGAAGGCUGCUUAAAUGUUCUCUCACUGUGAUCCUAGUCAAUAAAGCUUCUGUAUGACCUGGUUUAAACUGUACUUGUGUUACCAGGCACAUGGAGUCCUGAUGUUCUCAAACAAAGGAAAAGACAA